UACGUACCGGACAAACGUUAUUCGGAAUCACUGGGCUUAAAGAGUACGUAGGCUGUUUUGUAGGUGAGAUGUGAAAUCCCACGGCUCAACCGUGGAACUGCGUUUCAAACCACAAAACUUGAGGGAGACAGGGGUGAGCGGAACUGAUGGUGGAGCGGUGAAAUGCGUUGAUAUCAUCAGGAACACCGGUGGCGAAGGCGGCUCACUGGGUCUCUUCUGACGCUGAGGUACGAAAGCUAGGGUAGCGAACGGG
This 253-nucleotide ribosomal RNA is filed under the name uncultured bacterium. RNAcentral's name for it is "partial 16S ribosomal RNA". It matches the Rfam family "Bacterial small subunit ribosomal RNA", at positions 524 to 776 of the family's 1533-position model. The record is from RNAcentral.